AGACCUUCAAGCCAGUGGACUUGAAGGGCCCAUUCCUUCAGGAAUUUCUCGUUUGAAGAAUUUGGAUGACUUGCGAAUCAGUGACAUAGUUGGUAACUCUGGUUUUCCACAGUUGCAAGGUAUUGAACAACUGCAAUAUAUGACAUUGAGGAACUGUGGUAUAUCUGGAGAGAUCCCCAAAUUUAUGUACCAGUUUGUAAAUCUCAGACGGCUGUAAGUAA
Phalaenopsis equestris is the source of this 221-nucleotide long non-coding RNA. RefSeq lists it as uncharacterized. Lineage: Eukaryota; Viridiplantae; Streptophyta; Magnoliopsida; Asparagales; Orchidaceae. The transcript is spliced from 3 exons. The record is from RefSeq and is a predicted model, not a curated record.